Molecule: ribosomal RNA, 428 nt
Filed under: uncultured bacterium
Lineage: Bacteria
Description: partial 16S ribosomal RNA
Rfam family: Bacterial small subunit ribosomal RNA
Source: RNAcentral
UGGGAAUAUUGCGCAAUGGGCGGAAGCCUGACGCAGCAACGCCGCGUGCGGGAUGACGGCCUUCGGGUUGUAAACCGCUUUCAGCAGGGACGAAGCGUGAGUGACGGUACCUGCAGAAGAAGCACCGGCCAACUACGUGCCAGCAGCCGCGGUGAUACGUAGGGUGCGAGCGUUGUCCGGAAUUAUUGGGCGUAAAGAGCUCGUAGGUGGUUGAUCGCGUCGAAAGUGAAAUCUCAGGGCUUAAACCCUGAGCGUGCUUUCGAUACGGGUCGACUAGAGGAAAGGUAGGGGAGAAUGAAUUCCUGGUGGAGCGAUGGAAUGCGCAGAUAUCAGGAGGAACACCAGUGGCGAAGGCGGUUCUCUGGACCUUUCCUGACGCUGAGGAGCGAAAAGCGUGGGGAGCAAAACAGGCUUAGAUACCCUGGUAG